RNAcentral lists this unclassified non-coding RNA (132 nucleotides) under soil metagenome. RNAcentral's name for it is "partial internal transcribed spacer 1". The record is from RNAcentral.
UUGAUAAUAUAGUUUAUACUAUCAUUAAUAUGUGCACUGUUACCGCCAAUUGGCGGCCGUAAGGUCGUCAAUUGGCCCCAAUUAAAAUAUUUAUUAAUAACUUUUUAUACCAGUAAUCAUAUAAACUUAUGA